GAUGAACGCUGGCGGCGUGCCUAAUACAUGCAAGUCGAGCGAACAGACGAGGAGCUUGCUCCUCUGACGUUAGCGGCGGACGGGUGAGUAACACGUGGAUAACCUACCUAUAAGACUGGGAUAACUUCGGGAAACCGGAGCUAAUACCGGAUAAUAUAUUGAACCGCAUGGUUCAAUAGUGAAAGACGGUUUUGCUGUCACUUAUAGAUGGAUCCGCGCCGCAUUAGCUAGUUGGUAAGGUAACGGCUUACCAAGGCAACGAUGCGUAGCCGACCUGAGAGGGUGAACGCGCCCUCUGGGACUGAGACACGGUCCAGACUCCUACGGGAGGCAGAGGUAGGGAAUCGUGCGAGAUGGGGGGAAGCCUGACGGAGCGACGCCGGGUGAGUGAUGAAGGUCUUCGGAGCGUAUAACUGUGUUAUUGGUGAAGAACAAAUGUGUAAGGAACUAUGCACUUCGUGACGGUACCUAAACAGAAAGCCACGGCUAACUACGUG
RNAcentral lists this ribosomal RNA (497 nucleotides) under uncultured bacterium. RNAcentral's name for it is "partial 16S ribosomal RNA". It matches the Rfam family "Bacterial small subunit ribosomal RNA", at positions 28 to 507 of the family's 1533-position model. The record is from RNAcentral.